GUCCGCCUGCCCUGUGACUCUAAGUUUAACGGCCGCGGUAUCUUAACCGUGCGAAGGUAGCGCAAUCACUUGUCUCUUAAAUGGGGACCCGUAUGAAUGGCAUAACGAGGGCUUAACUGUCUCCUUUCUCAAGUUAAUGAAAUUGACCUCCCCGUGCAGAGGCGGGGAUACAAACAUAAGACGAGAAGACCCUAUGGAGCUUUAGGCACUAAAACUGAUCACGUAAAAAACCUCUUAUAAAAGAAUAUAACUUUGUGAAACCAGUUUAAUUGCCUUUGGUUGGGGCGACCGCGGGGAAACAAAAAACCCCCAUGUGGACUGGGGCCACUACGGCCCUAGAAAUAAGAGCUCCCGCUCUAACUAACAGAACUUCUGACCUUACUGAUCCGGCCUUGGCCGAUCAACGAACCGAGUUACCCUAGGGAUAACAGCGCAAUCCCCUUAUAGAGCCCAUAUCGACAAGGGGGUUUACGACCUCGAUGUUGGAUCAGGAUAUCCUAAUGGUGCAGCCGCUAUUAAGGGUUCGUUUGUUCAACGAUUAAAAUCCUACGUGAUCUG
This 558-nucleotide ribosomal RNA is filed under the name Thamnaconus degeni. RNAcentral's name for it is "partial 16S ribosomal RNA". It matches the Rfam family "Bacterial large subunit ribosomal RNA", at positions 1853 to 2607 of the family's 2925-position model. The record is from RNAcentral. Lineage: Eukaryota; Metazoa; Chordata; Actinopteri; Tetraodontiformes; Monacanthidae.